This 490-nucleotide ribosomal RNA is filed under the name uncultured bacterium. RNAcentral describes it as "partial 16S ribosomal RNA". It matches the Rfam family "Bacterial small subunit ribosomal RNA", at positions 30 to 507 of the family's 1533-position model. The record is from RNAcentral.
AUUGAACGCUGGCGGCAGGCCUAACACAUGCAAGUCGAACGGAAACAGGAAGAAGCUUGCUUCUUUGCUGACGAGUGGCGGACGGGUGAGUAAUGUCUGGGAAACUGCCUGAUGGAGGGGGAUAACUACUGGAAACGGUAGCUAAUACCGCAUAACGUCGCAAGACCAAAGAGGGGGACCUUCGGGCCUCUUGCCAUCGGAUGUGCCCAGAUGGGAUUAGCUAGUAGGUGGGGUAACGGCUCACCUAGGCGACGAUCCCUAGCUGGUCUGAGAGGAUGACCAGCCACACUGGAACUGAGACACGGUCCAGACUCCUACGGGAGGCAGCAGUGGGGAAUAUUGCACAAUGGGCGCAAGCCUGAUGCAGCCAUGCCGCGUGUAUGAAGAAGGCCUUCGGGUUGUAAAGUACUUUCAGCGGGGAGGAAGGGAGUAAAGUUAAUACCUUUGCUCAUUGACGUUACCCGCAGAAGAAGCACCGGCUAACUCCGUG